CGCGGUUUUAUCCCUAAAUUUCCCCCCUCUGAAACCCCUAAAUUUUCACUUAAAACAUUUUUCGUUAGACAGAAGUGAGGAGAGACUGUGUGUGGAAAUAUAGAGUCAGAGAGGCAUGGAGACUGCCAUACGUGGUAGAUUAUCUCUCUCACCAAACACCAUCUUUAAUCCUAAACCAGGGCGCUUGCGUGUUGAAAGCGGUCAAUUGUUCACUUUCAUGUCUGGCUGUUGAAAGCAUGAAGUAGAUGAAUCGAGAGAUUUAUCUUCAUACUGGUUUUCUUCCUAGUUCAUUCUCUAUGUAUGCUAUGAGCCUCUCAUCAGGGUUAUUUCUACUUGAGAAACCUGCAUGGGCUGUUGCUGUUGCAGCUGUGGGUGUAAUCCUAGGUUGGCCAUUUUCAAUCUUGGCAUUUCUUCCACUGACCUUCUACUCUUUAGAUAAACAAUUCAAACAAGCAUUUCUUUCUGGUGCUGUCACCUCAAUAGCUCUUCUUGCACUCUCCAUACUCGUUGAUCACUGCUACUACCAACGCUGGACAUCAUCUGUUUUUAAUCUCUUAGUAUAUAAUGUAUUAGGAGGUGGCGAGAGCCAUUUGUAUGGGACUGAGGGCCACUUUUUAUAUAAGGAAUGGGUUUAACAACUUCAACUUCUGUUUCAUCCUUGCUUUGCUUUUCCUGGGAAUUCUGCCAAAUUGCAAGAAAAAAGUAUGCCCCUGACUUGUUUAUUGUAAUCUCUCCUCUUUAUAUAUGGCUGGCAUUUAUGUCUCUGCAGCCGCACAAAGAAGAAAGAUUCCUUUAUCCCAUAUACCCUCUUGUUUGUGUUGCUGCUUCUGCUGUCAUUGAGAGUUUUACUAAUCUUUUCCGAGCAAAUAUAAUCCCUAUGAUAAUUCUAUUAUAGUUAUGAUGGCCAAAUUUCUUAGACCUGUGGCCCUGAGCCUCAUAUUAUGUGCCUCACAUUCACGUACAUUCUCAUUGAUCAAUGGCUAUGCUGCUCUAAUGGAGGUUUACAAGAUCUUGGAGCACCAUGAUGAUGCAGGAACUGUGCUUGAAAAUUAAGUGCAAGUUGAUGUGAAUGACAAUGUCCUGGAGAUCAUAUGGGAAGAUAAUAAUUAAAACAUGGAGGUUACAAGGAUGAUAAGGAGAAGGAAGAGUAGGACUUUAAGGGUAAAAAUGUGUCAAAUCUAGUGAGUCAGGUGACCGAGAUUCCGUUUAACAAUUUUCUUUAUUGCUGGAACAACUCUUAACCAAGAUCAAGAUCAAAGUACUUCACUAAGUUAUAUAUGCAAGCAUUGCAAUUAGAGGUGAUGAUGAUUUGGCAUUAUAUUCUCACCAGGAUGAAUUUUGUUUUAGAAAUUGUAAUACUUUGUGUGUCUCUCUGUGUGUGUGUUUUUUUAUGUAUUAAAUUACAUAUUGAAUCAAUGUUUAUGUAUUAAAUUUAAAUUCAUUAAUUUUUAUAUUUAGUUUUGAAGUUUAAAUUUUAAUGGAAAA
Molecule: long non-coding RNA, 1485 nt
Organism: Gossypium arboreum
Lineage: Eukaryota; Viridiplantae; Streptophyta; Magnoliopsida; Malvales; Malvaceae
Exons: 8
Source: RefSeq, a predicted model, not a curated record